CAGUAGCCGCGGUAAUACGAAGGGUGCAAGCGUUAAUCGGAAUUACUGGGCGUAAAGCGUGCGUAGGCGGUGAGUUAAGUCUGCUGUGAAAUCCCCGGGCUCAACCUGGGAAUGGCAGUGGAUACUGGCUCGCUAGAGUGUGUCAGAGGAUGGUGGAAUUCCCGGUGUAGCGGUGAAAUGCGUAGAGAUCGGGAGGAACACCAGUGGCGAAGGCGGCCAUCUGGGACAACACUGACGCUGAGGCACGAAAGCGUGGGGAGCAAACAGGACUAGAUACCCGGGUAGUCCCUGUCUCUUAUAC
This 301-nucleotide ribosomal RNA is filed under the name uncultured bacterium. RNAcentral describes it as "partial 16S ribosomal RNA". It matches the Rfam family "Bacterial small subunit ribosomal RNA", at positions 509 to 807 of the family's 1533-position model. The record is from RNAcentral.